RNAcentral lists this ribosomal RNA (497 nucleotides) under uncultured bacterium. RNAcentral's name for it is "partial 16S ribosomal RNA". It matches the Rfam family "Bacterial small subunit ribosomal RNA", at positions 28 to 507 of the family's 1533-position model. The record is from RNAcentral.
GAUGAACGCUGGCGGCGUGCCUAAUACAUGCAAGUCGAGCGAACGGACGAGAAGCUUGCUUUUCUGAUGUUAGCGGCGGACGGGUGAGUAACACGUGGAUAACCUACCUAUAAGACUGGGAUAACUUCGGGAAACCGGAGCUAAUACCGGAUAAUAUUUUGAACCGCAUGGUUCAAAAGUGAAAGACGGUCUUGCUGUCACUUAUAGAUGGAUCCGCGCUGCAUUAGCUAGUUGGUAAGGUAACGGCUUACCAAGGCAACGAUGCAUAGCCGACCUGAGAGGGUGAUCGGCCACACUGGAACUGAGACACGGUCCAGACUCCUACGGGAGGCAGCAGUAGGGAAUCUUCCGCAAUGGGCGAAAGCCUGACGGAGCAACGCCGCGUGAGUGAUGAAGGUCUUCGGAUCGUAAAACUCUGUUAGUAGGGAAGAACAUAUGUGUAAGUAACUGUGCACAUCUUGACGGUACCUAAUCAGAAAGCCACGGCUAACCACGUG